Long non-coding RNA from Eriocheir sinensis (Chinese mitten crab), 2765 nucleotides. RefSeq lists it as uncharacterized. The transcript has 3 exons. The record is from RefSeq and is a predicted model, not a curated record. Lineage: Eukaryota; Metazoa; Arthropoda; Malacostraca; Decapoda; Varunidae.
UUCACACAUACAAUAGCCCUACAAUAAUAAAAAAAUUUAAUCAUAACUUUAGUAAAACAAUCUUUGAAUGCAUAAUAUAUAACCUAACCUUUGAAUAUAGUGCAUAAUAAUAAUAAUAAUAAUAGUAAUAAUAAUAAUAAUAAUAAUAAUAAUAAUAAUAAUAAUAGUGUUAAUGAAAAAUUAUGCUGGGCUUAUGAACAUACAUGUACAGGUGCAGAAAAUAUUAGCAGAAUUCUGUACCGUCCUGAAACCCUCACUUAAGGGUAAGGUCAGGAUAAGUUAAGGUAAGGUUAGGAUAUUAAGGUAAGGUCAGGAUAGGUCAGAUUCAGGUUACCUUGGAGUGAAUUACGUUAAGGGGAAUAUUUUAAGGCAAGUUUAGGGUAAUUCAACUGUAGUUUUAGGUAAGAUGAGAGUGAAUUACAUUAGUUUAGGGUCAUUCAAGACAGAGUAAGGUUACUUUAGGGUGAAUUAGAUUAAAUUCAGACUGCUUAUGAUAGACUUACGGCACUUAGGGAAGCUUUGUUUUGAUCGUUACCAAUGGCGCCGAUCGAUGCUAUAGUUUUCCACGUGAAACUGGCCUAUGGGGUGGUGGCGGCUGCAGAGGAAGCGAGAGGUGUUGAGAGUGUGUGGCAAGGCUAGGCUAACCCCACUACCACCCCAUCGGCCAGUUUUAAGUAGAAAUUCUACGGCGGCGAUCAUUGGUAGCGAUCAAAACAAACAAAACGACUGUGAAAGCGGCCCUAAGUCCCCACCACCACCACCAAGAAAAUUAACAUGCUGUAUAUUAAGGAAACAGUUGUAUGCGGCAGAACAAGGAAUUUUUAACUCAGGAUAAUUGACAGCACAGUGAUACCUCGGUUCACAGCAGCUACAUUAUACAAGUUGUACGAGUGUUUGGAUUUACAAGCAUCAAAAUUCCCUGAAAAUGCCUUAGUGUACGAGUGCCCAGCAAACAAUGACCGGCGGCCCGCCGUCGGCUUAAGAGAGGCCGGGGGUGGCUGAAUGCAGGCAGCCAUGCCCCCGUUGCGCCUGCGAUUGCCCGCUCUGGACUUUAACUUUCAGCAAGGUGUUUGUUAAGUGAAACGUCGAUCGAAUUUUCGGUUUGACGUAUCUCAACUUACAUGAAUUACGGUAGUCAUUGCCUUAAAUGAAUUACGUUGAAAAACAUUUAAAACAAACUGAAUUUCAUAAGCAUGGAAGAAUAAUAUAUAUAAAAAAAUAUAUGUAAACGAUAUAUUUUCUAACAAAGGUAUUAUGUAAUUCUAUCUGUAAAUGAUAUCAAGUUUUCCUGAUAUGUAUUAAUUUCAUGUCUAAUGCAGAGAGGUUAUGAAUAUAUCACGCAGUUAGAAAGUCGAACAUCAAAUUUGCAAUGUCAGAUAUUUAAGGAGGGCGCCAUCCACUGAUGCCUUUAGCUAUUUUCCAUGAGCCAAUACUGAAAAUAUUCGAUAUUUGUAACGGCUAUCAAGGAGAAAAAGAACUUUUUGUGAUUGCAACAAUGUUUGUGUGCCAUCACUUUACACUUAGAUGUCUCAAAACUCCUUAAACAUUGAUAAUGUAAAGGAUCUGCUGUUGAAAAUGCUAAAAACUGGCAACAGUACCGCACCGUGCCAUCAGACUUGCCAGAUUAUCGUACUCAAAGCAUCGUAUAUACUGGCUUCUGACCCAUAACAAUUAUCAAGAUGGAAGCCCCAAUAAUUAACCAUUUUAUCAAUAAUCUUAUAUGAAGCCAGUUUUGGGGGUGAAGAAGACGGUAUUUAGGUCGUAAAUCGGCAAACAUAAGAGGAUGAGUACGACAAUCUAGUAGCGGAGCAGCGGGCCGGGCCAUCUUCAUUCUUCAAAACAAAGGUCUGGCGGGGCAGGACCGCCGCUCUACAAGAAAACUCUCUCACCUCAACAAAAGGCAAGUAAUCCUGAUUCUGUUGUAAGUCAAGCUUAGCAUUUGUUCAUUCUAGUGACAGAGAAGUUCAAAGUAGAUGCCAAGACAUGGCAGAAGAAUCUUACUGGACAAAAAGGAGGCGACUGAAAUUGCGUAUGUCAGCACAUUUAGAUUUCCUUCAAAAUUCCUCAGUAAACCAAGAUGUUGACUUGUAUGACACUAACCAACAGUUAUCUGAGUCAUGUGCUCACAGUUCAGAAAGCGAAGUGUUGAGUAAUGAUCAUUAUGAAGCUGCAGGAACCUCUGAUGUAGGUUUUGAGGAAGCCCAAAAUCCAUGUCUGGACAGAGAUUGUUAUUCCUCUCCGCUUUCUGAUAGCUCAGAAAGCAACGGCGAUAUUAAUGUAUAUGAAACUGAUACUCAUGACAGUGUUGCAGAGCAGUUGUGUCCCAAACUUGCAGAAUGGGCAGUUAAGUAUCAAAUUCCACAAACUGCAUUAAGCAGCCUUCUUUCUGUACUAAAAAACUAUCAUCCAGACAUCCAAAUGGAUGCCAGAACUUUGCUUAAAACACCAAGCCAGUGUAAUGUUAAGGAGAUAUCUGGAGGCUCGUACUAUCAUUUUGGUGUUGAAAAAUCUCUUGUAAGGAUUUUAUCCACUACAGAAAGUGUGGAUACCCUGAAAGAUUGUACAUUUAUUUCAUUGCAAGUAAAUAUUGAUGGACUUCCCUUGUUCAAAAGUUCAAACAUACAAUUCUGGCCAAUUUUAGCAAGAAUUAAUAACCCACUUCUGAGUAGCCCUUUCAUUAUUGGAUUGUUUUGUGGGAAUCGCAAACCAGAAAACAUUGUUGAAUUUUUUAAAGACUUCAAAGGUGUCUCACGCCCGCAGGUGAG